RNAcentral lists this ribosomal RNA (460 nucleotides) under uncultured bacterium. Its description in RNAcentral is "partial 16S ribosomal RNA". It matches the Rfam family "Bacterial small subunit ribosomal RNA", at positions 338 to 795 of the family's 1533-position model. The record is from RNAcentral.
CCUACGGGUGGCAGCAGUGAGGAAUAUUGGUCAAUGGGCGUGAGCCUGAACCAGCCAAGUCGCGUGAGGGAAGACGGCCCUACGGACUGUAAACCUCUUUUGUGAGGGAGCAAGAUGCGUCACGAGUGGUGCUGCGAGAGUACCGGAUGAAAAAGGAUCGGCUAACUCCGUGCCAGCAGCCGCGGUAAUACGGAGGAUGCGAGCGUUAUGCGGAUUUAUUGGGUUUAAAGGGUGCGCAGGCGGAAGGGGCAAGUUAGCGUGAAAAUCGCGGGGCUCACCCUCGCCGAGCCGUUCAAACUGGCGUGCUUGAGUGGGCGAGAAGUAUGCGGAAUGCGUGGUGUAGCGGUGAAAUGCAUAGAUAUCACGAAGAACUCCGAUUGCGAAGGCAGCAUACGGGCGCCCUACUGACGCUGAUGCACGAAGGCGUGGGUAUCGAACAGGAUUAGAUACCCCUGUAGUC